CCUACGGGUGGCAGCAGUGAGGAAUAUUGGUCAAUGGGAGGAAUCCUGAACCAGCAAUGCCGCGUGCAGGACGACGGCUCUACGAGUUGUAAACUGCUUUUGUACCGGGGUAAAAUGCUCUACGAGUAGGGAUUUGAAAGUACGGUACGAAUAAGGAACGGCUAACUCUGUGCCAGCGGCCGCGGUAAUACGGCGGAAGCGAGCGUUAUCCGGAUUCAGUGGGUUUAAGGGGUGCGUAGGUUGUUUUAUAAGUUAGCGGUGAACUACCGAUGCUCAACAUCGGGGCUGCCGCUGAUACUGGAGGACUAGAGAGCGGAUGCGGCAGGCGGAAUGUGUAGUGUAGCGGUAGAAUGCAUAGAGAUUA
Molecule: ribosomal RNA, 364 nt
Filed under: uncultured bacterium
Lineage: Bacteria
Description: partial 16S ribosomal RNA
Rfam family: Bacterial small subunit ribosomal RNA
Source: RNAcentral